Molecule: long non-coding RNA, 433 nt
Filed under: Mytilus galloprovincialis (Mediterranean mussel)
Lineage: Eukaryota; Metazoa; Mollusca; Bivalvia; Mytilida; Mytilidae
Source: RNAcentral
AUUAGGACAAUUACGGUAAUUUGUAUGUUAAAUGUGUAUAAGUGUAACGCGUUUGUGUAGGCUCGUCUAUGAACUCCCAUUUUUGUUUGUAUAGAAGCAAACGGUUGGCACUGUGAUCUUUCAGAGGGAGGAGUUUUGAACAGCUAACAUGUACGGUUAUCAUAUAUUAUUCAAAUAUGUCAAUUAUUGAAUGCAACACAUUACAGUCAUAAAAAUGAAUUGGUAACAAUAUGUGCAUCAUUUAAGAGUUUGGAAGUGUCUUAAGUUAAUAAAAUAUAAAUGCAUGCCAAUUUGAUAAAAUUCAUUAUUCUGCAGUAGUCAAUAUACGCAUGUGCAAACAAAUUUUAUUGGAUUUAAAGCAUGGGUUUAUUCACAAAGUGAAAGAAGCACGUCAUUCUAAGAUUGAAGAUAAUAUAUCUUGUCAUAUUGGGGC